CGCGUACUUCCUCCGUUCAAAAUUACUUGUUGUGAAAAUAGAUAUAUCUAGAAUUAAAAUAUGUCUAGAUACAUAACAUAUAUUUCUGCGACAAAUAAUUUCGAACGGAGGGAGUACGUA
This is a non-coding RNA of Triticum aestivum (bread wheat), 120 nucleotides long. The record is from Rfam. Lineage: Eukaryota; Viridiplantae; Streptophyta; Magnoliopsida; Poales; Poaceae.